Molecule: long non-coding RNA, 976 nt
Organism: Pezoporus flaviventris
Lineage: Eukaryota; Metazoa; Chordata; Aves; Psittaciformes; Psittacidae
Exons: 3
Source: RefSeq, a predicted model, not a curated record
CCAUAAAUGAGGCUCUCUGGCCCUUCACUACCAAACCAGAGAGAGUGCCCAUGCAGGGAAUCCUCUCUGAGAGAUUUCCCCUUCUCUUCCCCAAACGUGAGCAGCUGGGAUACAAUUCUCUGGUUCACAUCCUAUUUCUUCAUCCAGAUUUGGACAAGGCAUUCCAUUGUUGGCAGGUUGAAGAAGUACAAAACGAGUUCUGAUCUUGGUCCCUGUCUUUCUGCAAAUACCUCUACAGAGACCCCAGGAAGACCACUGUGAAACCUCACAGUCCAGUGGUGUUUCUGCAAUACACACAAUAAAAAGAAUAAGCCUCUCCUUCCAGAUGCUCUGGAGUCCAGCAAUUUGCACUGCCUUCCUGGGUUGCAGCAACCUUCACAUAGUCUCCCUCUGGGUCUCUAGGAAUGUAUCCUCUUCUUGACCUCUGAGGCUUGGCUGUAGAUCUGCUCCUUUGCAGCAAGCAAGCCAUGUGCUUUGUCAGGAGUCUUUCAGUCUGCAUUUAGACUUGUAAUCUCCUCCUUUUCCUCCCCUCUCUCCACCUGACACAGACUGUUGCAGCCAGGAAAAUCAGAGGCAGCCUAUUCUGUCAGACCCUUUCAAACCAAAUGAGAAGAAAAAAAACCCCAACCACAAUAAAAUAGAGACCAAACCAUGAACAAAAACUCAGUUUUUUCAGCUGGCAUGAGGGCAAAAAGCAGCAGGAAUUGGAGGCACUCUGUAGUGCCUCCAUCUAAACUGCAAAGGCUUUCCCAGUUUUCAGGCUCAUAUGUGCACCCUGUUCAUUUUCCUAUGUCAGGUAAGACCUAGAUGCAUCAACUCUCCUGAGGCUCCGGUUUCUGGGAAGAGAAGAUGCAGUUGUAUGAGCCAGAAUGGUUCAGGCUUACUGCUUCUCUUUCAGAGGCUGAAUUACACCCGCACAGUCCAGAAUGCAGAUGAUAUGAAUUUACUUGUAUUAUGCAAUAGAGGAAAGAGCAGA